CAGGCCUAACACAUGCAAGUCGAACGAGACCUUCGGGUCUAGUGGCGCACGGGUGCGUAACGCGUGGGAAUCUGCCCUUGGGUUCGGAAUAACUGGAAGAAAUUCCAGCUAAUACCGGAUGAUGACGUAAGUCCAAAGAUUUAUCGCCCAAGGAUGAGCCCGCGUAGGAUUAGCUUGUUGGUGAGGUAAAAGCUCACCAAGGCGACGAUGUCUAGGGGAGCUGAGAGGCUGGUCCCCCACACGGGCACUGAGAUACGGGCCCGACUCCUACGGGAGGCAGCAGUAGGGAAUAUUGGGCAAUGGGCGCGAGCCUGACCCAGCCAUGCCGCGUGCAGGAUGAAGGCUUUCUGAGUCGUAAACUGCUUUUGCCAGGGAAGAAAAAAGGGCGUGCGCGCCUUACUGACGGUACCUGGUGAAUAAGCACCGGCUAACUCCGUGCCAGCAGCCGCGGUA
RNAcentral lists this ribosomal RNA (453 nucleotides) under uncultured bacterium. RNAcentral describes it as "bacterial SSU rRNA". It matches the Rfam family "Bacterial small subunit ribosomal RNA", at positions 43 to 522 of the family's 1533-position model. The record is from RNAcentral.